GAUGAACGCUGGCGGCGUGCCUAAUACAUGCAAGUCGAGCGAACAGACGAGGAGCUUGCUCCUCUGACGUUAGCGGCGGACGGGUGAGUAACACGUGGAUAACCUACCUAUAAGACUUGGAUAACUUCGGGAAACCGGAGCUAAUACCGGAUAAUAUAUUGAACCGCAUGGUUCAAUAGUGAAAGACGGUUUUGCUGUCACUUAUAGAUGGAUCCGCGCCGCAUUAGCUAGUUGGUGAGGUAACGGCUUACCAAGGCAACGAUGCGUAGCCGACGUGAGAGGGUGAUCGGCCACACUGGAACUGAGACACGGCCCAGACUCCUACGGGAGGCAGCAGUAGGGAAGCGUCCGAAAUGGGCGAAAGCCUGACGGAGCAACGCCGCGUGAGUGAUGAAGGUCUUCGGAUCGUAAAACUCUGUUAUUAGGGAAGAACAAAUGUGUAAGUAACGAUGCACGUCGUGACGGUACCUAAUCAGAAAGCAACGGCUAACUACGUG
RNAcentral lists this ribosomal RNA (497 nucleotides) under uncultured bacterium. Its description in RNAcentral is "partial 16S ribosomal RNA". It matches the Rfam family "Bacterial small subunit ribosomal RNA", at positions 28 to 507 of the family's 1533-position model. The record is from RNAcentral.